RNAcentral lists this ribosomal RNA (301 nucleotides) under uncultured bacterium. RNAcentral describes it as "partial 16S ribosomal RNA". It matches the Rfam family "Bacterial small subunit ribosomal RNA", at positions 509 to 808 of the family's 1533-position model. The record is from RNAcentral.
CAGCAGCCGCGGGAAAACAGAGGGUGCGAGCGUUAAUCGGAUUUACUGGGCGUAAAGCGUGCGUAGGCGGCUUCUUAAGUCGGAUGUGAAAUCCCUGAGCUUAACUUAGGAAUUGCAUUCGAUACUGGGAAGCUAGAGUAUGGGAGAGGAUGGUAGAAUUCCAGGUGUAGCGGUGAAAUGCGUAGAGAUCUGGAGGAAUACCGAUGGCGAAGGCAGCCAUCUGGCCUAAUACUGACGCUGAGGUACGAAAGCAUGGGGAGCAAACAGGAUUAGAUACCCCUGUAGUCCCUGUCUCUUAACA